AGGUCCAGCCUGCCCAGUGAAUUUUUAACGGCCGCGGUAUCCUAACCGCGCGAAGGUAGCAUAAUCACUUGUUCUUUAAAUGGGGACUCGUAUCAACGGCAUCACGAGGGUUUUACUGUCUCCUCUUUUUGAUCAGUGAAAUUGAUCUUCCCGUGAAGAAGCGGGAAUACUUAUAUAAGACGAGAAGACCCCAUGGAGCUUUAAACCAAAUAGUAACUUAACCACAUAUCUCCUUAUAACUUUAAGCCUAUACUAUGAGGUUUUUGGUUGGGGUGACCGCGGAGUAAAACAUAUCCUCCACGACGGAAAGACUACAAUCUUUAUUUAAGAACCACAAUUCUAAAAAUUAGUAUACUAACGUUUACUGACCCGAUAAUCGAUCAACGGAACAAGUUACCCUGGGGAUAACAGCGCAAUCUACUUCAAGAGCCCAUAUCGACAAGUAGGCUUACGACCUCGAUGUUGGAUCAGGGUAUCCCAGUGGUGCAGCCAUUACUGAAGGUUCGUUUGUUCAACGAU
Molecule: ribosomal RNA, 519 nt
Filed under: Polypedates leucomystax B
Lineage: Eukaryota; Metazoa; Chordata; Amphibia; Anura; Rhacophoridae
Description: partial 16S ribosomal RNA
Rfam family: Bacterial large subunit ribosomal RNA
Source: RNAcentral